Harpia harpyja (harpy eagle) is the source of this 1889-nucleotide RNA transcript. It is a transcript of the gene named chromosome 9 C12orf43 homolog, with no coding region annotated. The transcript is spliced from 10 exons. NCBI's taxonomy places the organism in Eukaryota, Metazoa, Chordata, Aves, Accipitriformes, Accipitridae. The record is from RefSeq and is a predicted model, not a curated record.
GUGCUCCGCGGCUGUCGCGCCUUCAAGAUGGCGGCGCCCAGGGGUGGCUCGGGUCUGGACACGGACACGGACUCGGACUCGGACAGCAGCGGCGGCGCGGCAGCGCGGUUCCGAGAGGCCGCCUGGGACUGCGUUGCGCAGGCGGCGGUGCCGGUGGAGCCGCGCCGCGGUGGCUUUAAAAAGGAUCGGUUACAGCCCGCUCAGCCUAGCCUAAGGCGUGAGGUGAACGGUCAUGAUGAGGAUGGAAAUGAGCUACAGACGACACCAGAGUUCAGAGCACAUGUUGCAAAGAAACUGGGAGCAAUGCUAGAUGGUUUCAUCACUGUCUUGAAGGACUCGUCAGGACCUUCACAAACUUCUGUGCAACAGUCUGACUCUGCAGAUGAUGGUUUUCGCCUCUUCUCUUCUUCUGUCCCCGGAGACUGUGGGAAAUUGGAGCCUUGCCCUGCAGCAAGGAGGAGACAGCCAUCUAGCUCCAGUGACAUGGACAGUGACCAAGAGUGGCAAAGAUACCAGGAGGCUGCUGUGUCAGCCACAGACAUUCUGAAGCAAAGUGCUUUUCCUGCACCGUCCCAGGAUUCCAGCCAGGAUCAGAGUCAGGGUUAUGUAGAGCACAGCCAGAAAAAAAAGAAGAAAAAGAAAAUUAGGGGAGAGAACAAUAUUCAAGAGAAAAUAAUAGACCCAGCAGAGUGUGACCAGAUCUGCAAAGAUUUGCCACGGUUGGUGUCUGCAAAUGGACAGCAUGAGAGACAGGACAGCAAUCAUACAGAGAACUCAAUGUUGCCAGGAGUUGUGAAGAAGAAAAAGAAGAAGAAAAAAAGAGAAUGAAGAUUUUGCUCUGCAAACAGCAGGUGAUUAUGAUGGAUGAAGGAUGCUAAAAAAAAAAAAAAACAAAACCAAAAACCAAAACUAACAAGAGUUGCUGCAGAUGAGGGAAAAUUAAUGGGCAAAGGUUCCGUUCUAAAAGCUCAGUGGCCUGAGAGUCUAAUUAAGUGACUUCCUAUGUUGUUGGCGUCCCCUGGGGAAGGGAACAUUGUUCUCCUAGCAGAGCGGUUAUCUAUGCUGCUGCUUAUGCAGACCUAGCGUAAAAGGAUUAAAUACUGUGCACGGACUUGCGUCACAGAGGGAUAUAAUCAUGGCUGCAUCCCUCCUGGUCUGUUUCUUCACAUCAUGAAACCAAAUCUUGUGUCCUGGAGAAAGUAUAUGAUGAAUUGAAUUUGGUUUACAUGGCAACAGGCAAGAGAAGCCUUCAUUUCCUUCAGUUGGGUUCUGAAUUGCUGCUUGGGACCAGACCUUGCUUAAACAGAGGUUCAGAGCUGUGAAGUACUCAGGACCAUCUUCUGGCCCUUUCUUCUGGAGCCUGCUAGACAACCCUCACUGAUGUCAGUGCACAGCCUGGAGCCGGGCUAGGCAGAGAGCAGGGAAGAUGGCGUCUGCACCCCGAGUACCAGCUCCCCUCCCUGCAGUGAGUUAAAAAAGCUCAGAUGGAUACAGAAGACUUUCUUUGUGUGGCUAAAAAGAAGUAACAAUUUGGAGACCAUGUAAAAACAUUAAAUGAUCUCACUGAAUGCUACAACUGGAUGCCAUGUGGAGAAUCCUUAGCUGAAUAUGGAAACCUUUCAAAUACUGAGGAGGAGAAUUGCUCGUUUUUACUUAGGUGUAAUUAAUGUGGUGGUUGAGACCCCUCAAAUUCAGUGCUUCAUUGACGAGACAUAAGCAGCUUUACAACACUAAACUUGUCAGCUUAAUAGCAAGCUCUCAAACACUGUUACAUUAACAAAUGAGGUUGGAUGCAGAUUGGAGAAAUAUAUCAAUUAGUAAUCACAAGAAGCCUGUUUUCCAUUUUAUUUUAAUGGCAAGUUUAAUAAAGAUUAUUUAAACACGUUCAA